RNAcentral lists this transfer RNA (75 nucleotides) under Phycisphaerae bacterium. RNAcentral's name for it is "tRNA-Gly". It matches the Rfam family "tRNA". From Rfam's summary of the family: Transfer RNA (tRNA) molecules are approximately 80 nucleotides in length. The record is from RNAcentral. RNAcentral also lists the same sequence under 4 other names. Lineage: Bacteria; Pseudomonadati; Planctomycetota; Phycisphaerae.
GCGGGCGUAGCUCAGUGGUAGAGCGCAACGUUGCCAACGUUGAUGUCGUGGGUUCAAGUCCCAUCGCCCGCUCCA